RNAcentral lists this ribosomal RNA (832 nucleotides) under uncultured bacterium. RNAcentral's name for it is "bacterial SSU rRNA". It matches the Rfam family "Bacterial small subunit ribosomal RNA", at positions 63 to 885 of the family's 1533-position model. The record is from RNAcentral.
CGAACGGCAGCACAGAGAGAGCUUGCUCCUUGGGUGGCGAGUGGCGGACGGGUGAGGAAUACAUCGGGAAUCUACUUUUUCGUGGGGGAUAACGUAGGGAAACUUACGCUAAUACCGCAUACGACCUACGGGUGAAAGCAGGGGACCUUCGGGCCUUGCGCGAUUGAAUGAGCCGAUGUCGGAUUAGCUAGUUGGCGGGGUAAAGGCCCACCAAGGCGACGAUCCGUAGCUGGUCUGAGAGGAUGAUCAGCCACACUGGAACUGAGACACGGUCCAGACUCCUACGGGAGGCAGCAGUGGGGAAUAUUGGACAAUGGGCGCAAGCCUGAUCCAGCCAUACCGCGUGGGUGAAGAAGGCCUUCGGGUUGUAAAGCCCUUUUGUUGGGAAAGAAAUCCAGCUGGCUAAUACCCGGUUGGGAUGACGGUACCCAAAGAAUAAGCACCGGCUAACUUCGUGCCAGCAGCCGCGGUAAUACGAAGGGUGCAAGCGUUACUCGGAAUUACUGGGCGUAAAGCGUGCGUAGGUGGUCGUUUAAGUCCGUUGUGAAAGCCCUGGGCUCAACCUGGGAACUGCAGUGGAUACUGGGCGACUAGAGUGUGGUAGAGGGUAGCGGAAUUCCUGGUGUAGCAUGAAAUGCGUAGAGAUCAGGAGGAACAUCCAUGGCGAAGGCAGCUACCUGGACCACACUGACACUGAGCACGAAAGCGUGGGGAGCAAACAGGAUUAAUACCCUGGUAUUCCACGCCCUAACGAUGCCAACUGGAUUGUUGGUGCAAUUUGGCACGCAGUAUCCGAAGCUAACCCGUUAGUUUCGCCGCCUGGGGAGUACGG